This 667-nucleotide ribosomal RNA is filed under the name Pseudomonas sp. RNAcentral describes it as "bacterial SSU rRNA". It matches the Rfam family "Bacterial small subunit ribosomal RNA", at positions 23 to 685 of the family's 1533-position model. Lineage: Bacteria; Pseudomonadati; Pseudomonadota; Gammaproteobacteria; Pseudomonadales; Pseudomonadaceae. The record is from RNAcentral.
CUCAGAUUGAACGCUGGCGGCAGGCCUAACACAUGCAAGUCGAGCGGUAGAGAGAAGCUUGCUUCUCUUGAGAGCGGCGGACGGGUGAGUAAUGCCUAGGAAUCUGCCUGGUAGUGGGGGAUAACGUUCGGAAACGGACGCUAAUACCGCAUACGUCCUACGGGAGAAAGCAGGGGACCUUCGGGCCUUGCGCUAUCAGAUGAGCCUAGGUCGGAUUAGCUAGUUGGUGAGGUAAUGGCUCACCAAGGCGACGAUCCGUAACUGGUCUGAGAGGAUGAUCAGUCACACUGGAACUGAGACACGGUCCAGACUCCUACGGGAGGCAGCAGUGGGGAAUAUUGGACAAUGGGCGAAAGCCUGAUCCAGCCAUGCCGCGUGUGUGAAGAAGGUCUUCGGAUUGUAAAGCACUUUAAGUUGGGAGGAAGGGUUGUAGAUUAAUACUCUGCAAUUUUGACGUUACCGACAGAAUAAGCACCGGCUAACUCUGUGCCAGCAGCCGCGGUAAUACAGAGGGUGCAAGCGUUAAUCGGAAUUACUGGGCGUAAAGCGCGCGUAGGUGGUUUGUUAAGUUGGAUGUGAAAUCCCCGGGCUCAACCUGGGAACUGCAUUCAAAACUGACUGACUAGAGUGUGGUAGAGGGUGGUGGAAUUUCCUGUGUAGCGGUGAA